This is a long non-coding RNA of Haemorhous mexicanus (house finch), 356 nucleotides long. RefSeq lists it as uncharacterized. Lineage: Eukaryota; Metazoa; Chordata; Aves; Passeriformes; Fringillidae. The transcript is spliced from 3 exons. The record is from RefSeq and is a predicted model, not a curated record.
AGUCUCUCUUGCAAGUAUGCAGUGUCCCUAAGGGAAUAGUGACCCAUACAUGGCCGCCCAUAAUAGCUACUUUCCCAGGAAUAGGGGGGAAGAGAAUGUUUGUACAACCAACUUUGAGAUUGAUCUGUUUGGAAAAAGACAUUUGCCUUCCUCAAAUAAUGAUUUCAGAAAACUGAGAUCACGUAGAAAAAGAAUAAUAAAUAAGUUAAAUGGAAGGAACUACUUCAAGAUGAAAUAUAUAACAAUGAUAAGCUUAUUUAAAAGAAGAGCGCAGUAAGUGUAAAGGAAAAUAAGAUAGGAAAUACUGUUAAACAUGGAGGAAAAGACAGAAUGUCUUUUAUUCAGAUUUUGGAGCC